AACGAACGCUGGCGGCAUGCCUAACACAUGCAAGUCGAACGAGACCUUCGGGUCUAGUGGCGCACGGGUGCGUAACGCGUGGGAACCUGCCCUUAGGUUCGGAAUAACUCCCCGAAAGGGGUGCUAAUACCGGAUAAUGUCUUCGGACCAAAGAUUUAUCGCCUUUGGAUGGGCCCGCGUUGGAUUAGCUAGUUGGUAGGGUAAAAGCCUACCAAGGCGACGAUCCAUAGCUGGUCUGAGAGGAUGAUCAGCCACACUGGGACUGAGACACGGCCCAGACUCCUACGGGAGGAAGCAGUGGGGAAUAUGGGACAAUGGGCGAAAGCCGGAUCCAGCAAGGCCGCGGGAGUGAUGAAGGCCUUAGGGUGGUAAAGCUCUUUUACCCGGGAUGAUAAUGACAGUACCGGGAGAAUAAGCUCCGGCUAACUCCGU
Molecule: ribosomal RNA, 432 nt
Filed under: uncultured bacterium
Lineage: Bacteria
Description: partial 16S ribosomal RNA
Rfam family: Bacterial small subunit ribosomal RNA
Source: RNAcentral